UGAGGUGUGGAGGGUGGGUGGAUGGAGCGAAGGCGGCAACUGGUAUCGGACUCGUCCUAGAAACUCUACCUCCUUCUUCGAGACUCCCGCCGCUACCUUCUGCGGAAAGACCUCCCACGCCAACUUACCGCUCGCCUGUGGUAGGAGGUCUGGGACGCCUACCUGUUCGACCUACGCACCUAGGCGCCUCUCCCCGAACGGCUACUCUAGCUCCCCGAGUUUAGACUCUAGCUACUUCAGUACCGCCGCCAUAGGAUACAGUUCCCCUCCCGCCAUCCGUUGUCCGCCUACCGCUCCAGAGAGCGCCGCGAGUUCGUCUUCGAGAAGCUGCGGCUACUGCGACAGCUGCUCGAGCUGAUGAUGUCUGAAGUUGUGGUACAGCAGCUCCAGCUUCCUCCGGUUGUGCGCGACGGCAGAAGUAGGUUGCGCGUGUUAGCGAAGCGAAGGCUACCACAAUGGGUCAGAAAGUGGUGUCGGUGUUGCUGAUGGCGACGUCAGUGAAACGUCCUCGGUCUUCCGUACGUACUUCGUCGCGCUCAUCUAGUACCGUGUAGCUACCCGCUACCACUAUUAUAUGAUGGCUCUUCUCCAGUAUCGUUCUUUGCCAGGUUCCGUACCCUACCAAAACUGCUCUCUAUACUGUGACUACCUUUCUGGCACCCCCGUCUUACAUCUGUGACAUUUUUCUUUGAAUUUAUGCUGCCAUUUGUUCCCGGUUCUCAGAACUACUGAGUGAGGUUAUCACGGUUCACAUUCUUAUGCGCUCUUGGUGCAGAGGUCGGCGGUUCGGUAAGUUCGUACCUACUACGAUGACUUUUACGAUGGGGGCAACGACAGUCAUUAAGUGGGUCGUAUGGUUCCUACCCUUGCUUAGGUCUCGGUUGUGUUUAGUGGCGUCGACAACGAGUGGGAACCUUAUUCCUGCUUUAAAGGUCAUUCUAUGUCUUUUAUUGAGUAGUCAACGUUCCGUAGGCUCCCCUACACUGUUUCCUAGAGUUGUACGAACCCAGUGUAAUACCACGUUCAAGUCGAGUGGUAGUUUCAUGUCGGAGUCUAGGUUCGGCUUCUUGUAGUUCAGAAGAAGUUCCGUUUCACAUACCCUCUCUGUUUCUCUUCUUGUGGUAGUAUGUCGACUACUGACGACCCUUUAGACUGUCAAACUGACAACACGGGUAACAUCCGUAACCUCCAUGACCCUUCUGCCGAGAGCGCGUUAGACAUAUAUUACUAGGCUUUCACGUUUUGGUUAAACUGGUGUCGUAUACCUAAACCCACAGAUUAUCGAAGCUACUUUACUCUGAGUGUUUUCUCUACAAUCUACAACAGGGAGCUCUUUUCGUGCUUCCCAACACGUCGGAACUGUUAGAAGUCGUCCAGAACUUUUGAGUAUAACUUAGUUUCUCCCAAUACGAAUAAAAUCUACUACAAACCCUACUGUACUUGUUAAGGUCUAACCUGGAUUAUGACCGAGGGAAGUUCAGUUUGUUACGUUUACCGUUACGCUAGGAACACUGCUGGUCUAUAGAUAGGCAACGUUUUUCCUAUCCUUGUUGACUUGGACAAAACAAUACACGAGACCCUCUACGGCUAAAAACCAAUGACAAGUUUCGUGCUCGUAAAACACUACUCUUUAUACUUCCUUUAGAUUGUUUAUAACCUGCCCUUUAUCGUCCGUUCGAUUUUCCGUUGGGUAAUCGUCGUCAUUGACGUCCCCUUGAUAAUUCUCAACUAGAAUGUCAACUAGUGACCUGAUUUUAAGAGUUCCUCCUUCUAACCUUUAACAACCCCGAGUCACUUCCAUAGUACAGAAGAAACUUCGAAUCGAUACUAGUUGACGGCAUGGUAAAUGUGGUUACGAAGAGCAUGACAAGAUAUAAGAGACUAUUAGUAACCAAAGAAGCACUUCUCAACCAUGUGUACACCUAAAGUGUUCCUAAACAGUUCGUCUCGGUAGGUUCAUUCUCUAACCUCCUCUAUCCUUACCUGAUAAACCGUCUAAACCACUUGGACCCGAUAAAAGUUGUUCUACCUUAUCUUUUAAGUAUACAACACAGACCAGAAUACGUACUAAAACGUUCCUACCAAAAAUCUCGACUCACACCCCAACAUCUACCAUACGUUACGUUACUAUACAAUGGGUGACAUGUUGUAAACCGCUAUCAAAUGUUCUCUCUAGUCGUACCAAUGUACAGAACAUCCUCGUUCAAACUUCUUCUAAACUCUUUACGUCAAUGUAGGCACUCUUUUGACUCCUGUAACCACAAUUAUUCCCUUAGGUCGACAAGGACAAAGGUCAGGAAGCCACUGUAUAAGGUCUUCCGUGUACUAUGUGCAGAAGAUGUAUAUAGAAGUUCUAAACGUCUUAAAUUAGGGGAGUACACGUCAAGACAUUUAGGAUAAGUAGAAGCGAUACAUUUUGAACUACCCACACCUCUAAACGGAGUCCAAAACUCGUCAAAAACGGUGGAGGUUCAUAAUGUAGAGCCCAGUCUGUGACCAGAAUUACACGGACUACCGUACUUAUUAGAACAGUCAAACGCCGUAGAAAAACGUGGAAGGUUAAGGUAACGAUCUUAACCGUCUAAUUGGAGUGAAGUCUGUGAUUUGUUAAAGGCGCAUGUUCUAAGAUUACCGAAAGUCUAAUGUCUCGAAGUUGGGUACUUACUAGAACGGGUUGAACCCUAAAGACCUGAAGGUUUACAAUUUUGAGUCCUCCUCCGAACGCCCCAUCCCGACUCUAUAUUUGCUAUGAAUCUUUUCGACGUGAACAGGACCUUAUACAGUCUACAACUUAGGCUGAGUCUACCGUCGUUACUUAGACUGAGUCUACUGUCGUUACUUAGAUUCUUACAGUACUCGAGACUUGGAAGAUGGUCGUUUCUUUGUCUCCUCACGAACGGUUGUCUCCAUGAACUCCCAGAUUUUGGUGUAAUGUUGGACUUUGUAGAAGUCUAUUGACCCAUGUUACCACGACGGAGAGGUAGGACCGAACGAGCGUUAUAGAGACAAUGGACAAAUGUCUGAGACAUAAACUUACCGACACCUCUUACCGCCUAUGAAGGUAGAAACUCUCCCGAAGGCAAAGAACGUUUAAAUUUCAACUCUUUGUACGGUUUUCAUCUUCUUCAUACCCAAGAAAGUAACUUCUUCAACCACAAUCAAUUUUACGGUUUCAACCUCUCUACGAGUACGCAAAGGAACUCCCUGAACUUAAGAACAAAUUCCCAAGACUUCUAAUUCGUAACGGGACGUGACUUCCACAAACUAGAGAAACCCUUACCGGUACUUAAGUUUUAACUCGUCUUCAGUACCAACGGUGCGGAAACACUCGAGUGAGAUUUCUUGACAGCAGACAACCACCAUGGUAUGGGAAAUGGUAGACGUUCAUGACAGACAUCAUAAAGGCACUCGUCUCAGAGUUUUAAAGGUUGUUAUCUUCAUACCAGGACGGCAAAUUGGUAUCCACUCCUAUAAAAACCCGCACAUGGAAACAUACUCCUAAUAAAAUUGUUCAAAUGACUACUCGACAAGCACAAUCUACCUUUAUAAAACCGUAAGGUAUUAGAUUCUAAGGACUGUGUCAACUAUUAUCCAACAACGGUUUUUGAUUGCAGAUAAAGUGAGUUUCCUAAUUCAGUUGAACUUAGUAAUUUCUGUGACUUUUAUUUCCCGACACGGUCCGAAAGGCCAGAGCUACGAGGUGGUCUCGUACGGGAGGGUAGUGAGCUUAUAGAUCUCUAACCCCGUACACCUUAUCGCACCCUCACCGAUAGAGACUAAGACGUUGUACGCGGUCGUGAUUGCCUUAACCUAAAUACCCUGACGGGUUUUGACCCAAGAGAUGUUGACUUGAGGACGUGCUGUGACGUUUUCAACUCGCAUCUAUAGAAACUUAGCGAGCCGUGUGAUCUCGACGUGAAAACGUGCCGUAACCUUCUAAACAAGUAGACACUUCGACGUCAGACGCACGAUCUCCCGAGCGUUAGUGAGUCCUUCAACGCUGAGGUACUGUCGGUAAUAAACCUUAGAGAUUUUGACGUGAGGACGUGCCGUGACCUUCUCAACCUAUAAGCCUCGACAUGUAGUGAGACAUGUGAUCUCCCGAAAGUUAGGGAACCGUCGGAGUCCGCAAACAUAGAUGCACUAACGGGACCGAACGUAAGUAAAAACCUCCCAAACGGUCUCGUUCUAAUGUUAAAUACGGGAGCUGACCUUAAAGAACUAUAGUCACCGAAGAGAAAGGAACGGUGUGGCAAGACGUUCGUUGAGUGCAGUGAGGUCGCGGAUCAAAAAACACCAAACCUACCUCUUUUUUGUCUUCUUCCUGAUUGUCUACUCGUUCUCUCUCCCGAAGACGAGGAGCCAAGGGAGUGUCUCGAGCUUAAACUCUGAAUACGCGUAGAACUUAUAGAAGGGCGUUCGGACGUGUCUGAAGCGAGGGAGGUCCACAACCUCUAAAGUAAAACAGGCUCGUAGAGUCCUAACGGCCUGGAGGGCGGAAGAGAACUCCUCAACUCUUAGAAGGUACCGUCACUCCUCGACUUUGUAGUUAGGUAUAGCGCCCGUAGUUCGUUCAAUUUCCAGUUUUAACUGCCGGUUAUACACUUAACUAAUGAGCCACCGAACAAUUCGUGUUGGACGUGUCGUCUGUAUCAACGUGUGAACAUGACGAAAACUCUAUAUCAACGUGUCGGUAGGGAGGGAGCUCCAACCUCUAGACUUCUAUAGUCUAACACAGUUCCGACGACCUUUACCCGGAGGGUGGAAGUGACCUUCUCAACCUGUAGAACGAAACGUCACUCCAGGACUUGCUAGUUACAUCUUACGAGUGUUGUUCGUUCGAUUUCCAAACGACGGAACAGUUGAGCAUCGUCAGUUAAAGGACAGGUUUUCUUUUCUAUCAUCAGUUGUCCUCGAGACUCUGUGUUAAAGACUUUUACGUAGCACAAUAAGUAGUGUUCAACCGGACUUGUACGUAAUCCAACAAGUAGUGUUCAACCGGACUUCUUCGAAUGUUUUGAAAGGCCUUUAUGUGACGUCGAUAUGAUUACGUGAAAUACAAAGACUUGAGGUGGAGAAUCCAGAAUCGGUCGUAUACAACGAGGCAGUCUUAAGACCUACACAGUCGCCUGUGGACUAAUUAGGUAUCUAGACUUGUACGUUGGAACGACCCAAACCGAUGUUUAAAACGAGCAACAUUAUGUAAGAUUCCUUAAGUAAAACAAAACCCCAAAGAAAACACUACGGUGUUACGGUUGUACAACACGAAG
This 5270-nucleotide ribosomal RNA is filed under the name Triticum aestivum (bread wheat). RNAcentral describes it as "partial small subunit ribosomal RNA". Lineage: Eukaryota; Viridiplantae; Streptophyta; Magnoliopsida; Poales; Poaceae. The record is from RNAcentral.